GACGGGGCCCGCACAAGCGGUGGAGCAUGUGGUUAAUCGAAGCAACGCGAAGAACCUUACCAGGUCUGACAUCCCUGACAACCCGAGAGAUCGGGCGUUCCCCCUUCGGGGGGACAGGGUGACAGGUGGUGCAUGGUUGUCGUCAGCUCGUGUCGUGAGAUGUUGGGUUAAGUCCCGCAACGAGCGCAACCCUUGCCAUUAGUUGCUACGAAAGGGCACUCUAAUGGGACUGCCGGUGACAAACCGGAGGAAGGUGGGGAUGACGUCAAGUCCUCAUGGCCCUUAUAGGUGGGGCUACACACGUCAUACAAUGGCCGGUACAGAGGGUAGCCAACCCGCGAGGGGGAGCCAAUCCCACAAAGCCGGUCGUAGUCCGGAUCGUAGUCUGCAACUCGACUACGUGAAGUCGGAAUCGCUAGUAAUCGUGGAUCAGAAUGUCACGGUGAAUACGUUCCCGGGUCUU
RNAcentral lists this ribosomal RNA (463 nucleotides) under uncultured Peptococcaceae bacterium. RNAcentral describes it as "bacterial SSU rRNA". It matches the Rfam family "Bacterial small subunit ribosomal RNA", at positions 916 to 1381 of the family's 1533-position model. The record is from RNAcentral. Lineage: Bacteria; Bacillati; Bacillota; Clostridia; Eubacteriales; Peptococcaceae.